GACGUGACUUCAGAGUUUGAUCCUGGCUCAGGAUGAACGCUGGCGGCGUGCCUAAUACAUGCAAGUCGAGCGAACCACUUCGGUGGUGAGCGGCGAACGGGUGAGUAACACGUAGGUGAUCUGCCCAUCAGACGGGGACAACGAUUGGAAACGAUCGCUAAUACCGGAUAGGACGAAAGUUUAAAGGUGCUCCUGGCACCGCUGAUGGAUGAGCCUGCGGCGCAUUAGCUAGUUGGUAGGGUAAAGGCCUACCAAGGCGACGAUGCGUAGCCGACCUGAGAGGGUGAACGGCCACACUGGGACUGAGACACGGCCCAG
RNAcentral lists this ribosomal RNA (318 nucleotides) under uncultured bacterium. RNAcentral's name for it is "bacterial SSU rRNA". It matches the Rfam family "Bacterial small subunit ribosomal RNA", at positions 1 to 334 of the family's 1533-position model. The record is from RNAcentral.